AAGUGACUAAGCGUACACGGUGGAUGCCUUGGCAGUCAGAGGCGAUGAAGGACGUAUUAACUUGCGAUAAGCCCAGAUUAGGCAGUAAAAGCCACUUGAGUCUGGGAUUUCCGAAUGGGGAAACCCAACUGCAUAAGCAGUUACUGUUAACUGAAUACAUAGGUUAACAGGGCGAACCGGGGGAACUGAAACAUCUAAGUACCCCGAGGAAAAGAAAUCAACCGAGAUUCCGAAAGUAGCGGCGAGCGAAAUUGGACUAGCCCUUAAGCUUUACACGCGUUAGACGAACGGUCUGGAAAGUCCGACGAUACAGGGUGAUAGUCCCGUAGUUGACGACGUGUGUUCAGUGAAAUCGAGUAGGGCGGGACACGUGAUAUCCUGUCUGAAUAUGGGGGGACCAUCCUCCAAGGCUAAAUACUACUG
RNAcentral lists this ribosomal RNA (423 nucleotides) under Vibrio parahaemolyticus. RNAcentral's name for it is "partial 23S ribosomal RNA". It matches the Rfam family "Bacterial large subunit ribosomal RNA", at positions 1 to 478 of the family's 2925-position model. The record is from RNAcentral. Lineage: Bacteria; Pseudomonadati; Pseudomonadota; Gammaproteobacteria; Vibrionales; Vibrionaceae.